This is a long non-coding RNA of Polyodon spathula (Mississippi paddlefish), 763 nucleotides long. RefSeq lists it as uncharacterized. NCBI's taxonomy places the organism in Eukaryota, Metazoa, Chordata, Actinopteri, Acipenseriformes, Polyodontidae. The record is from RefSeq and is a predicted model, not a curated record. The transcript is spliced from 3 exons.
CCGGUUUACAUCCACAUUGAACUGAGGGACCGUGAACAUGUUUAGUUUUGAAUUAAAUGGUUUCUGAUGUUUCCAAAGGGCAGGAUGCAGAAAUAUGGCAAGUUACCGACGUUCGAGCAAGUGUCUGAAAGGCAAGACUCAUUUUGUGGGAGAUUAUUGCUUGGUUUUAAAGUUUCUUCUAACAGCUGCAAUACGCAGGGCGAUCGUGUUUGUGAAGAAUUUUUUUUUUAAUAGAUUAAAAACACAAAUCAUCGCUGCUGUAGCUGGGUUCUUAGUCUAAUAUAAUGCAUGGCAAGUCACCUGGAUUGUGCACAAUAACAUAGUACAGGUACUCCAGACUUGCUUGUGAGCAGCACCCUCUUGUGUUUGUCCAGGGGAAAGGCGAUGCAGAGUCUGAGUAUCUGCGCUGUGAAGGCGCCAUUAAGAAUCUGAAACUGAAGAAAAUAGAUUGUGGACAAAAUAAAGGACAUCUGGAAAGAGGUGUUUUCUGCUGACCUGCAGGUGACAACGUACCCAGUCUUCCAGCAGAUCUUCUGUGUUUCCCUGUUUACACUCCUUUGUUACAACACUGCAGGAUACAUUUCCUUUAUUGGAUCCCCUUUGCACUUAUAGACCAGCCCAGACGGUGACCCUCUGUCGCUGUGUUGACAGAUGACACGCUUGCAUGGUUAUUUCAGGGGGAUGAAGGCAAGCAUUAAGCAGAGCCUUCUUGCUGAAAAACCAGGAACAGAUCCAGGAGCUGAUCCAAGCCACAGAAUCCCAG